Molecule: ribosomal RNA, 434 nt
Filed under: uncultured bacterium
Lineage: Bacteria
Description: bacterial SSU rRNA
Rfam family: Bacterial small subunit ribosomal RNA
Source: RNAcentral
GCAGUGAGGAAUAUUGGACAAUGGGUGAGAGCCUGAUCCAGCCAUCCCGCGUGAAGGACGACGGCCCUAUGGGUUGUAAACUUCUUUUGUAUAGGGAUAAACCUACUCUCGUGAGAGUAGCUGAAGGUACUAUACGAAUAAGCACCGGCUAACUCCGUGCCAGCAGCCGCGGUAAUACGGAGGGUGCAAGCGUUAUCCGGAUUUAUUGGGUUUAAAGGGUCCGUAGGCGGACUCGUAAGUCAGUGGUGAAAUCUCAUAGCUUAACUAUGAAACUGCCAUUGAUACUGCGGGUCUUGAGUAAAGUAGAAGUGGCUGGAAUAAGUAGUGUAGCGGUGAAAUGCAUAGAUAUUACUUAGAACACCAAUUGCGAAGGCAGGUCACUAUGUUUUAACUGACGCUGAUGGACGAAAGCGUGGGGAGCGAACAGGAUUAGA